UCUCUUUUCUAGUAGUAGUCGUAAGUGGACAGCGGAGAAGAAGAACAACAAAUAAAGCAGAUUAGAGCACAUGUAAAGGUUGGACGGUACUGUCCAAGGCCCCCAUCUCGAGUAGGGAGAGCGACAGGGUAACUGACCUUAAUAACUAUGUGCAUCUUUAGAGAGAGUCGGAAGUUAAGAAAGAAACAAAUAACCUGCCAAAGAACCAUCAACCGCUCAUCACGAGGUCGAGGUAGGUCCCCGGUCCUUGCACCCAGACCUCCUCUAGACUCGAAGGAAGAGGCACUUCUUCCUUUAAACGAGUUCAGGUGGUUUCUAAAGUAGCUGCUAGUGAAGGUGUCUACUCUACUUCCAUACAUAACUGUCGAGCCAGGAAGGUAGGGCUCGCUUCUAGCUAGUUACCGAUGACGAUCAUCAUGCCGGACCCCUAGAGUGGCCGUCGUCAAGAGGCGGGACGAUAGGAGCCGCCAGGACCUUACCCACGACUAGGACGAGUACGACGACCUCCCGGACGACAGGGCGGACCGGUGCCGCAAGCGCGCGGAGACGUUCGAGGGCGGCGGGACGGGCCGCACGCGCGCCGAGCUGCGGCAGGAGCCGCCCCGCGCGGGCCCGAGGAGGAUGGCGCUGGAGGAGACGUCGAGGGUGUCCCGCCUCCGCAGCAGCAGGACCCGCAAGACGGUACUGCCACCGUACCCGUAACCCCUGCAAAACCCUCUAGCCGCGCAGCAACUGCUGCUCUAGCUAGCACAGCCCAUGUCACUCGACUCCCGGAGGCUGAGGCUCAGCCUCGAAUCUUCUUCCAGCGGCCUCCUGCGGCGGCGGUAGGCAUCCGACUUCCUCCUCGAAUGAGACCCGGUCCGCGUCUGUUUCCAACGUCUAUCGGAAGGAGAGUUCUAAGUCUUACCACCGGGCCUAUAAUGUGUGAGACUUCUAAGUUCCCUCGGCCCGUCGUAGCUCCGGCUGUAAGUCAGUUGACUAGAACGGUGUUUACUACUUCUUGGAGUAUGGUUCCAACGUCUACCGAAAGAGGUUAGGCCCAAUUGCGUUCAAGUCUCACCGUCUAAUGUGAGAUUUCUAAGUGUGUUGUAAGUCUGUUCACUAGAAGGUUGUUUUCUACUUCUUGGAGCAUGUCUAUGUGUUCUAGUAUUUGGUCUUCUUCUUCUACUCACCGUGUUGCGACUACUACCGCUCGGUAAACUUUGGUUUCGACGUCGUCUACUCGGCCUCGGACUUAAACGGCUGUCUCGGUGGUGUGCCGUCCUAAGGAACUCUCAGGUGGUCGUGGACUUCGACGACGAGAGCGUCGAGAGGCGAAGAAGCAGAAGAAAGGCCUGCGGGCUGUCGGGCUCGCACGUCCUCGUCGUCGUGCUCGUCCGGCACGACGCGUUGUAGUGGUCCCGCGAGAGGGACGUCGCCUUGAUGAGCCCGCAGAGGCUGCCGUCGCACCAGCUGUGACUUCGACUCCUCACGCCGUGCCAACUACUCGACUCCGCCGCCCACCUCGACCUGGCGUCCAGGUACCGCGAGGACACCUUCCUCGACCUCCUCCUCGCGUCGCGCAGCCGGCACCGCUGGUCGGUCCGGUACCGGUACUAGUGGUCCGACGUCCUCCUCUUCCGCCGCUACGCCUGGCUCCGCCGCGUCAUGGCGUCCCAGUACCUCCUCGUCUCGCGCAUGCUAGCCCUACUUCGACUCGCCGACCGGCCGCAGCACGCCCUCGAGCUCCGGCUCCAGCUCCCUAUGUUCCGGUCCGAGUCCCUGGUGCUCUAGCAGCCGCUCUAGGCGCUGGUAUACGCCGAGGAAGGCACGGUCUGUCUGCCGCUCUGGCCGCCGCAUGGGCAGAGGCCUGGCCGGCCUCUCCUUAAGAGGCCGCUGAGGCUCCUGCUGCUCUUGCGCGCGCGGACCUUCGUCGACUCCCCCGACUGCCUGUCCGAGGUGGCCGAGAGCUUGUUGUCGUCGCCCUAACAGGUUCUUGGCCUCGGGUGCCUGCAGCUUCUUCUUCUUCUUCUGCCGCUGCCGCCGUUCCUCCUCCUGUGCUGCCUUGGAAGCCACCACCCCUCCGCGCACUCCUUGCCGCUGUUGAAGUGCUUUACCGUCGUAGAAGUCAGGUAGCUCUGCUGCUCGUUCCCGAGCUGAGUGCCGGUGCCGGUGGUGCCUGUGCUGCCACCGCCGCUCCCACUGCUGUGCCGUCGUGACCUCCUCCUCUAGCCCCUCGAGUCGGCCGCCGACGUCCGCGACCUUCGCCUGGCCUCGAAGGACCUCGUGUCGCACUUGAGCGACUCCUUGCCCUCCCUGCCGCUCCGGCACUAGGUGCUGUAGCGAGCGUCGGAGUCUCUCGAGGCCUUCUGUGAGCCUCUCCUACGGUAACGAUCGACUUUCGAAGCGACCGGCCCCAACGAGUACUCGUACGUGUAUGUCUCCAACAUUUAUCACUACUCCGACGAGCUAACAUGUUAUUCGUACACACGUAUACCACGACCUACCAAACGUUCACCUGGUCCUAAAAAACGCACCUCACCAACAAGACGUUACGUAACGUCUUAGUCCCACAGUGACUUAAGCGGGGGCAAAGUACAUGUUUUAAAAUAGAACUGCCCAAACUUUAUAAUACUUUAAAACUCUCCUACAUUCACACAAA
Molecule: ribosomal RNA, 2641 nt
Filed under: Triticum aestivum (bread wheat)
Lineage: Eukaryota; Viridiplantae; Streptophyta; Magnoliopsida; Poales; Poaceae
Description: partial small subunit ribosomal RNA
Source: RNAcentral